GAUGAACGCUGACAGAAUGCUUAACACAUGCAAGUCGAUUCAAUUUACCUUCGGGUAAUGAGGAUGGCGGACGGGUGAGUAACGCGUAAGGAGCUUGCCUCUUGGUCUGGGACAACUGUUGGAAACGACAGCUAAUACCGGAUAUUAUGAGAUUCUCGCAUGGGAAACUUAUGAAAGCUAUAUGCGCCAAGAGAGAGCCUUGCGUUCCAUUAGCUAGUUGGUGGGGUAACGGCCCACCAAGGCGACGAUGGAUAGCCGGCCUGAGAGGGUGAACGGCCACAAGGGGACUGAGACAUGGCCCUUACUCCUACGGGAGGCAGCAGUGGGGAAUAUUGGACAAUGGACCAAAAGUCUGAUCCAGCAAUUCUGUGUGCACGAUGAAGGUCUUCGGAUUGUAAAGUGCUUUCAGUUGGGAAGAAGCAAGUGACGGUACCAACAGAAGAAGCGACGGCUAAAUACGUGCCAGCAGCCGCAGUAA
RNAcentral lists this ribosomal RNA (478 nucleotides) under uncultured bacterium. Its description in RNAcentral is "partial 16S ribosomal RNA". It matches the Rfam family "Bacterial small subunit ribosomal RNA", at positions 28 to 523 of the family's 1533-position model. The record is from RNAcentral.